This 431-nucleotide ribosomal RNA is filed under the name uncultured bacterium. RNAcentral describes it as "partial 16S ribosomal RNA". It matches the Rfam family "Bacterial small subunit ribosomal RNA", at positions 29 to 507 of the family's 1533-position model. The record is from RNAcentral.
AUGAACGCUGGCGGUAUGCUUAACACAUGCAAGUCGAACGGUCACUUCGGUGAUAGUGGCGGACGGGUGAGUCACGCGUGAGAAUCUGUCUUCAGGUCGGGGACAACAGUUAGAAAUGACUGCUAAUACCGGAUGUGCCUUUGGGUGAAAGAUUUAUUGCCUGAAAAAGAGCUCGCGUCAGAUUAGCUAGUAGGUGGUGUAAGAGACUACCUAGGCUCCGAUCUGUAGCUGGUCUGAGAGGACGAUCAGCCACACUGGAACUGAGACACGGUCCAGACUCCUACGGGAGGCAGCAGUGGGGAAUUUUCCGCAAUGGGCGAAAGCCUGACGGAGCAAUACCGCGUGAGGGACGAAGGCUUUUGGGUCGUAAACCUCUUUUCUCAAGGAAGAUGAUGACGGUACUUGAGGAAUAAGCAUCGGCUAACUCUGUG